UGUGAAGAGAGGGAAGGAGGCAGGGCUGUGGCGAGGAGGAAACCGGGUCACGUCCAGCCCCGGUCGGAGGGGCUGCUUCUCUUUCGCUUCGGUCUCUUUUCCUUCUCCUCCCGAAUUGUCUCCUCGAUGUGAAACUUAAAACGAGCGAAGAAGAGCUGUGUAUUUUACAGGCUAACAGGGGGUUGAGGACAAAUAAGUAGGACUCUGCUUUGAAGCUGAUUUUUAAUCAUUCCUCUGUUACACAGAGCAUACAAGAUUUUAAGCUCCUGAAAAAGUGAACGGAUUAUAGGAACGAGUAGGGCCAGAAGGAACAGAGGUUUAAAAGAGGGAAGACAGAGAAGAGAAACCAAGAUGGCAGAGGAGGAAGACAGGAACCUCCUGAGACAGAGCUGUAUGGAUAAAGACAGCACAGUGGAAGAGAAUCAGAUAAUCUCACUGGAUUGGCAACAGCUAGCCAUUAAGAAGAUGAACAGGUUCAAUAAUGUUUCUGCUUUGAACACAAGCACAGACUUACAAUUCGGACAAGAUCAAAUGCUAGCUAUUAUAAAGGAAAAUGUAGUAAAGGCAUGAUAAAGUGACCAAGUGUAAUCCAUUCCUUCCUUAAAAAAUCAAAGGAACUGUGUAUACAGCAAGUGUCCAGAUUCCAAGUGAUGAGAGAAAAUGGUAUUAACUUCUAUAUCCUCUGUCCUCAUUUAAGAGUGUCAAAUCACCUUAUAGAAAUGCAAUGUCGUUAGGUAAUCCAGUUAGUUCAUCUUUGUUUAUUUUCUUUCUUACAGUUACAUGAACUGGGGAAAGUGUGAAAUGUAUCAGCAGUUUAUUGUGGGAAGGCUAUUAGGUGUUCGUUUUGAAGGUGUGCUAAUAUGAAUAGCAAUUUAUAUUCUUUUUCACAACAAAUAGUCCAAAGAUUCAAGAGGCAGUCAAGAUGAAUCUACUGGGGAUACCACUGUGUGAUCAGAGAUGGUGAAAGGUCCUUGAACAUAGCGUGCCCUGACUGGUCAAUGGGCUUUUUCACGUGGGUCAAAUUAGGACUGCUCAUGAAGAGUGAGGCUUCAUCACCAAGGUCAAAGCGUUAAAAAACUGCUGGCAUGUAACUAACAAUGAGUUGUCAAACUGAAUUCAUCAGUUUGCUUUUUACUACUCAAGGUUCUAUGAAAGUCCAUUUGCAGGAGACAAUUUGUCUUUUCACAGCUUAAGAAGAAUUAGGUGCUUAGGAACAGAAUCCGUGUAACCACAUUAGUGAAGCACUAUUACCUGUAUGGGAACAGAGGAAAACAUUAUACUCUUAAUUUGAUAAAACUCCAGUUGUCUCCAGUCAAAUAGACCCAGCUCUGAAUGGCUUCCCUGGAAGUCAGUGAGCCAGCACUUCAUGGUGACCUCUGUUAUUGAACAGACUGUGACUUCUGUAAGGUCAUCACCAAAUAAGUACUUCUGUGUCUGUACAAAAGAUGUAAGCCGAUUCCUGGUAUGCUACCAGGCCUUCAUGCCUCCUCUUUUCAGUGAGGCAACCACAUUAUUGCUGUUUCUAGGAGAAGCACAGUGUUUCGGUCAGAUUUUCCACCUUUUAGCCACUAUGACUAAAUGAGGUCAGUGAUAUAACCAGUCACUGUGCUUACGCAAAGCUGGGGUUUGAGUUUUUAACAAAUAAUACAAGUCAUCAUUAUUUUGCAAGUUGAUUAGUAAGAAUAUGUAUUAGGAAGACUUGAAUGAAAAGGGAUGGGUUGUUGAUGCACCAAGGAUGGAUUCAGGCCAAACAAGCCAUAAAUAGAAGAAAGCACAAGUGCAUCAAGAGGAUGCAACGUUGUGUAAUCUGUGUAUUGGAAGUACGUGGAAUGAAGGUCCUAUGGUUCAAAGAGCUCUACAAACACACAGGGAAGUAAAGCAGGAGUGGCUGUUGAGAAGCUUUUUAUCCAAACAGACAAAUAGAGAUAGGAGAGGAGGAGAGGUGAGAAGAUGACUGCAGGAUAGAGGAGGGCAGUGACAUAACCCUGGGCAUCAUGGCUGUUUCCAGCACGACAUGCCACUCUCCAACCUGGUGCUUGAUCCAUUGCUACAUGCUACAGGGCUCACAGCAUUCAAGGGAGUCCUCUCACUCUGUUGGAAGGAGGUUUUGGAAAGGUAACUUUUUGCCAUUGAUUCAGCUACUUCAGUGUUUAUAGAGCAUUAUGUGAAUCACUGGUUUAGGGGGACAAAAAAAAAAAAGAAGGCUUAUGAUUUUUCCCCAUUCUUCUUAGGUUUGAAACACACUCCUAGAAGCCUGAUUAUAUAAAACACCCACCCUCAGACUGGUCCCAGAUAAUAUACCAGCACAGUCCUAUUUCGCACCAUCCUUCAUCUUCAGAUGAAGAGUAGUGACUGCAUAGCCUGCAGUCUUCGAUUUGUUUUGUUCUCUGUAAGUACAGACUAGGCUUUACUUUUAUUUGUCAGCUAAUUGCUCACUGCAUAUUGUUUGCAUUCUGCAAGCUGUUACUUUAGAAGAGGAUAUAUGAAAAUUCUGCAUAUUCCUUUCCCUAAAGAAGUUUUUCCCAUGCAGAAGAAAUAAAAGUUAAAGAACUUGUGUCUCCAGAUGAAAGAAGAACAAAACUAAUGAAGGGGGUCAUACUUCAAAGCAUGCACACCAAGCGUUGACUGAAACAAUCUGAAUAACGCCCACUGUCCCCUGGAGAUGUCAAGAUGUGUGCAUAUGGACCAGAGGACGCUGAGGAAUGGAACAGGCCCCAGAGAUGUCUCCUCUCCUACUCAUCAAGCCUGAUCCUUUUGCAUUACAUCCUAGCUGUCACUGGAGUUGGAAUUUUAAACUAGAUCUCUCAAGUGACCCACUAUGACCAUUCUUACCUUUGCUGCAGGAAACUGAAGUAGCAGUGGCGAUUUUAAUGUAAAUUCAAAGUACCCUAUAAUUCCCCAAACGUGGAAAACAUUGAAAUGCUAUAGAAUUCAAGUCCUAAUUCUUUACCAUAGUAUUAUCUCAGUAUUAAGGAAGACAUUCUCACUUCCAGCAAAGUGUUCUUUUCCAUUUCUUAAAGAGACUGUCAUGUUGUCUGCUAUGAACCAAGGUUUGUCUCUGGAAUCAGCAUGGUACAGAUGGUGGUGUACUGAUGUUUUAGCUGUAAAACUGAUCAUUUUAGUGCUUUGUUGUAUAGAUACCACUGCAUUCUUCUAAGGUCCUAAAGAAGAUAAAAUUGAAGCUCUGGUCUU
Molecule: long non-coding RNA, 3192 nt
Organism: Harpia harpyja (harpy eagle)
Lineage: Eukaryota; Metazoa; Chordata; Aves; Accipitriformes; Accipitridae
Exons: 3
Source: RefSeq, a predicted model, not a curated record